GACGAACGCUGGCGGCGUGCCUAAUACAUGCAAGUAGAACGCACAGUUUAUACCGUAGCUUGCUACACCAUAGACUGUGAGUUGCGAACGGGUGAGUAACGCGUAGGUAACCUGCCUGGUAGCGGGGGAUAACUAUUGGAAACGAUAGCUAAUACCGCAUAAUAUUGAUUAUUGCAUGAUAAUUGAUUGAAAGAUGCUAUUGCAUCACUACCAGAUGGACCUGCGUUGUAUUAGCUAGUAGGAGAGGUAACGGCUCACCUAGGCGACGAUACAUAGCCGACCUGGGAGGGGGAUCGGCCACACUGGGACCGAGACACGGCCCAGACUCCUACGGGGGGCAGCCGUAGGGGAUCUUCGGCAAUGGACGGAAGUCUGACCGAGCAACGCCGCGUGAGGGAAGAAGGUUCUCGGAUCGUAAAGCUCUGUUGUAAGAGAAGAACGGGUGUGAGAGUGGAAAGUUCACACUGUGACGGUAUCUUACCAGAAAGGGACGGCUAACUACGUG
RNAcentral lists this ribosomal RNA (505 nucleotides) under uncultured bacterium. RNAcentral's name for it is "partial 16S ribosomal RNA". It matches the Rfam family "Bacterial small subunit ribosomal RNA", at positions 28 to 507 of the family's 1533-position model. The record is from RNAcentral.